This 2172-nucleotide unclassified non-coding RNA is filed under the name Harpegnathos saltator (Jerdon's jumping ant). RNAcentral describes it as "phosphatidylserine decarboxylase proenzyme, mitochondrial, transcript variant X1". Lineage: Eukaryota; Metazoa; Arthropoda; Insecta; Hymenoptera; Formicidae. The record is from RNAcentral.
GGUACGCGCGUACAGGUGGAUGUUCGGCGCGCGUCGCUCUUUCCCCGCCACUUUGCGUUUUGAACCAUUUUGAAAUCGUGCCGAUGCGGAGCGCGCGUGAAGCAAGACCGACGUUCAGCCUCGAGAUCAUCCUCCUCCCGCUUUUAGGCGAUGAGAAUCAACAGUAUGAAGAAAUUGAGCUCCCUCGUCAGGGGAUACCAACGGUAUUGCCACUCUUCACCAAGGGUAAUACAGGGACAUACAACGAAGAUCAUUGGAAGACGCGCGUCGAGCGUCGCUGUGGAGUCUGUGAAGAGUACUGUUCGAAUGUGGCGGCUGUUUGUACCAGCAGGAGUUGGAUUCUCAGCAGCUUUGGUGACUCAGUGGAGGUAUCUGCAUCAACAUGGGUAUCCCGUUGAUGUAGCCGACGACAAGCCGGAAUUGUUGAAUGAUUUUAUGGUAACAUGCUAUUGUUGCUUACCGCUGAGGAUAACCAGCAGGAUAGGAGGUUGGCUGACCAGCAUCAAUUUACCAGUCGGCUUGAGGCCAACAAUAUAUCGUGUUUUUGCCAAUAUGUUUAAUGUCAAUCAGGAUGAGAUAGAAUUAGACUUGUCAACAUUUCCAAGUCUGGUUGAGUUUUUUGUGAGGGCACUUAAAAACAAUGCCAGACCGAUUGCUCAAAAUACAAAUAUGACUGCGCCUGCAGAUGGUGAAGUUCUUUACUUUGGGCCAGUGACUUCUUGCCGUGUGGAACAAGUCAAAGGAGUAACUUAUGAUCUCAAGUAUUUUUUGGGUGACUUAUCCAGCCUUUCAGUGGACCAAAUGGUGCAUAAGACUGAGCAAAAGGACGAUUUUGUUAAUGCAUUAUUAAAGAAUCCAGACAAUAGGCUUUAUCAAUUGAUCGUUUACCUGGCACCUGGUGAUUAUCAUCGAUUUCACAGUCCAACUGAUUGGAAUAUAAAAUUCCGACGACAUUUCCCAGGGAAGUUAUUGAGUGUUAAUCCGACGGUGCUGAAGUACAUGCCGAAUCUGUUUUCAUUGAACGAACGUGUCGUGUACCUUGGAGAAUGGGCGGGCGGUUUCAUGGCGUAUGCAGCGAUCGGAGCAACGAAUGUGGGUUCGAUAAAAGUCUACCGCGAUCAAGAGUUAGCGACUAACAAGGUGCGAUGGACGGACACCGCGUACCGGAAGGACCUCAGCUUCGACAACGUGCGCAUGGCUAAAGGUGAACUGUUCGGCGAAUUCAGACUCGGUUCGACGAUCGUGCUCCUGUUUGAGGCACCGCCGGACUUCCAGUUCUGCCUGCAAACUGGCCAGCCCAUCAAAGUUGGUCAGGCGUUGAGUGUGUGUCCUGAUCGCGAGGCUGACGAUCAGAGACGGACUAAACAGCAUUUGAUCAUAGACGUUGCACACAAGUGGAAGGACAUAGGGAAGAUUGGAGCAUAGGGCAGAACGACCAGCGAUAGGAGCUCUACUUUCCUGUUUUAGUCUUAGUGAAAAGUCAAAGACGUACCUGUAUGUCGCACGCGAUCCCAUGCAAAUUCGAAUUGUAGGUAGAACAAAACGGACAGAUCUCUGAAUGUGCUGAAGACUAUUUUUUACGAGUAUUGCAUCCAGCCCUCACACAGCGAGCGAACUUUUGUAACACAGGCGCGCGCGCACAUGUAUGUAAAGCUUUACAUAAUUACAAGAAGAGACGAAGGAAAGGAAAAAUAUGUGGGACCACUCAGUGCGUGAGAACGAUAUUUCCUCGACUUCUUGCGCGUCAUUACCAAUGGAGGUCGGAUCGUAAACUAUUUUUCUUAGGUGCACGUGGUAAAUCGAUCUCUCUAGUUAGUCGGCCGGUCAAGGCCGUCAGAUGCAACACUUUCCUCAAUUAAAGCUCUAGCCGCUUUUUCAAACCAGGAAAUAAUAGCCGCGUCGUAUAUCUUAAGACUCAUUGCGCACGAAAAGCCGUCGGCCGGAUUGACCCCGUUAGAGCGAGAGAGCGCCUUCAUGAUCUCUAUCGUUAAUAUUAACGGUAUCUCGGGACUCGCCGCACUUUCAACCCUAUUUGUCCCGACGUGUUCAGCGUUGAUGUGAUCACGCGAACGAAUAAGCGAAUUAAAUUGUGUGUGAUAUGAGUGCUCAAUCGAAUAGAUACAUAUUUUGUGACGCAAGCGCACGGGAUAAUAAAAGGCUCGAUUAAAAGUG